GUUGUCGUGUCAACGGCAUUGCUGGGCAGCUAUGUUCGGAAAGGAUAAGCGCUGAAAGCAUCUAAGCGCCAAGCCUCUCCCAAGAUGAGUUCUCCCUGAAGAGCCGUGGAAGACUACCACGUUGAUAGGUUGUGGGUAUAAGCACAGUAAUGUGUUCAGCUUAACAAUACUAAUGCUCGUUCGGCUUUACUGA
RNAcentral lists this ribosomal RNA (193 nucleotides) under Chthoniobacterales bacterium. Its description in RNAcentral is "partial 23S ribosomal RNA". It matches the Rfam family "Bacterial large subunit ribosomal RNA", at positions 2720 to 2925 of the family's 2925-position model. The record is from RNAcentral. Lineage: Bacteria; Pseudomonadati; Verrucomicrobiota; Spartobacteria; Chthoniobacterales.